Molecule: ribosomal RNA, 292 nt
Filed under: uncultured bacterium
Lineage: Bacteria
Description: partial 16S ribosomal RNA
Source: RNAcentral
GGACUACCGGGGUAUCUAAUCCUGUUUGCUCCCCACGCUUUCGUGCCUCAGUGUCAGUAUUAGGCCAGGUAGCCGCCUUCGCCACUGGUGUUCCUUCCGAUCUCUACGCAUUUCACCGCUACACCGGAAAUUCCACUACCCUCUCCCAUACUCAAGUUAAACAGUAUCAUCUCACACGCCCAGGUUAAGCCCAGGAAUUUCACAGAUAACUUAUUCAACAACCUACGCACCCUUUACGCCCAGUAAUUCCGAUUAACGCUCGCACCCUCCGUAUUACCGCGGCGGCUGGCAC